UGCCACUUGCACUCCAGCCUGGGGGACAGAGCAAGGGAAGACCCUGUCUCAAAAAAAAAGAAAAAGAAAAAUCAUUUGAGGAAAAAUUCACAAGUAAUAAUAUUGAGUCAUUUAAUCUGUGAACGAAGUAUGUAUUUAGGUUUCCUUUCAUUUCUCUCAGCCGUCUUUACAGGUAUUAUUAUAUACAGUUAUAGGUGUAUUAUAUAGAUUCCUCUCUGGGUUCAAAUCAUGGUUCUGCCACUUAAGAAGUAACCUUGGGCAGGUUUCUUAGCUUCUGUGAGCCUCUUCUUCCUUGUCUAUGAAAUAGGGUAAUAUCUCAUUGAUUUUGUCUAAGGGUUAAGUGAAUUGAUGUAUGUUAAAGGCCUAAUGUUAUGCCUGGCAAAAAGUUUACUGCACAGUCCAAGUUAGUUCUUGUCAUGAUUAUCACCAUUGUCAUCUUUACCAUCAAGUAACGAUGGCCUGUUGCACCCACCUCUGCCAAGUUAUUCUUGCCCACAACCAGACAGUUAGUAGCAGCUGCUCAGGGCUCCCUUUAUGAUCAGCAUGGCUGAUGAACACUGCCAAACGCUUGCUCUUAGGGGCUGUCUUUUCUCUAUGCCCCACUGCCAUUCUCCAGCUGUAGCUGUUUACACAUUCUUCCUUUGGAUUAUGUUAAUACCAUUGAUUAUGUUAAUACCAUUGUUAAUACCACAGCUUUCCUUUGCAUUUAGUUCAGUCUUCCUUUGAUUUUUCCAAUAUUGCUUUCUGAUUUUGCUUGGAAAAGUUUGCCCUAACUUUUUGUCUGUCACUGUCUGAAUCUCUCCUACUAUGUGUUUAUGAGUUUAAUUUUCAGAGUUUUGGGCUAGCUCAUAAUCACCCCAUUUUCCACUUGAGUAUUUUGUAGAUUGGGCAGUAACUUAAGUUUAUUAAAAUAAAGUGCUUACACAGAAUAUGUAUUUAAAAAUUUUUCUUCAUUUAUGGGAAAGUGGGAGAGAAAACAGGAUUUUUAUUUAAAACUUUUUAGAAGGUGAGAUGUGAAAAUAAUUUGCUAUUGACUAAAUCAGAUUGUUGUUACACUGUUAGUCUUAUGGAUUCAGAAAGUCCAUUGUUUUGAAAUCAGAACUUUGUCACUAACCCCAUCCCGAUGAGGUUUUCAAGUCAGCACUCUCAGGGUCCUUCAGGGAAAUCAAAGCGAUUUCUCAUGGGAGGAUUUGGGACAUCUGUGUCUAUGUGGUGUCUGCAUUUUUGUACAGUCAUGAUUUAACUUCAGAAAGAGCCUGUAUUUGGGACUAAAUAUUCUACUCUUUUCUGAAUCAUCAAAUUAUCAUUACAUUAUAUUCAGUAUUGGUUUUAGAACAAAAUAUGCCGCUUCCCAACUGUUUAAAUCUGGGCAAAGCAUGUAUCUCAUCUGCCCAUUGGUUUCCUUAUCUCUGAAAUGGGAAUAUUUAUCUGUUUUGAGGAUUAAUUUAAGUUAUGCUCUUAGAAUAGUGCCAGUAGGCACAUGGUAGGCACAUGUUAGCAGCUUAUUCUAGUUAUUUCAGGAGUGACAUCUCAUGCUUGCUUUAUUUAAUUAAAAUUAUUUAGCCAAAUUGAUGGUUUAACCAGUUGUUUUGUUCUUUAAUCAUUCUGCUUAACUAGGAAAUACUGAAGGUUCUUUUUUCCAAAAUGUGAAUCUGCUUGUUUUUACUUAAGACCUGAUGUAACCACUGUAGUAGUUCCGGGAUAGUAUUUUAUCUCCAUGGUGAUAUUAAUUUAAAUUUGGGGUAAUAGUAAGUUCGGUUUUAUUUUUUAAGAUAACAUGGAAAUUUUGUCUUCCAGUAGUGAAUGUGAUUUUCUAAAGACCUUGUAUUUUAAAUUGUUUCUACAUAAACUAACUCAGUCAUAAGGAAGGUAUUUGAUUUGCUGACAGUCACGUAGGAAAUCACGACUCUUGGCUGCAUCAUUUGUUUCCCCAGUCCCGGAUGAUUCAGUUUCCUUAGAAACUGCAUGAUGUGCAUGAUUUAUGAAUUAUGUCUCAAGUUAGGUUGAGAACUCAGUUGUUUAGACCUUGUUUUAAAGACAAAAAUAAUCUGAGUAAUAUUAAUGAAUAAUGAUGAUUUGUAGAGUAAGUAUAUAUUUAUAAAAUGUUUAAAAUUAAAUAUGAAAUAAAAAAUAUGGAAAUGAUCUUUAUAUAAUCAAAACAGUCAUAAUUUUGUGCCCUAAAGGAAAUUUAAUGAAGAAUUCCGAGGUAAAAGGCAUAUAACUUUUACUUCUCAUAAAGUGAAUUCAAAAUCACUUAAGCAACCUCAGCUUGAAAUGAUACUACAGUAGCAAAACUUGCUGAUUCUACUUUUUAUCAAUCAGUCAUGGGUGAGAAGUGUUCUUGUUUGUAAGGGAUUACUGAUAAUUAUUAUCAACAGAAUAAAGGCUUACCCUAACAAGAUCUCAGGAGGAUUACAGUUUGGUUUAAUACAGUUAUGUUCAUUUCCUCUGUGGAAAUGUAUUUAAUGGAGCUACUUUAGUAUGGUCGUUAGAGCAUCGUCUCUUCUAUGAUGUGAUCUUAAAAAAAUGUACUAUUGCAGUGGAAUUUUAGGUAAAUCUGUAUUGAGCUUCAGCAGAUUUGAAUUGUAAAAAGAAAUUAAGAUGUAUUAAGAUUUCCUUGGAGCAAGCAAUGUAAUAUUUCAUGUUAUUUCUGUCUCUUUAAAUCAGUAUAUAGUAUCAAUAAUAAAUUUUAAUAAUAUCAAAACAGUUAUCUAUGUGAAACUAGGGUCAUAAUUAUCUUAAAAUUUUUUAGCAUUUAUUUUUAGUCUUAUUUAAUGACAUCUUUUCCUAGAACUGUAUUUCAAAGUCAUUGCAAUAACCUGGUUUUCAGAAUUUGCAAAUUGUCUAAAUCUUCUGAUUGUGGAGUCACAGAUGAUCUGUCUGAUUACCAUGCAUUCAAUCCUUACGGUAAAAAUCUAAUUGUAGUUGGAGCCAUGGGGUGUUUUACUAAUUAUGUAAUAUAUACACCUUGGUGUAUCCUGCAUCUUGGUAGUUUGAUUUUGCAAAGGAAAUCUAUGAUUUAAACAGAAUAUUCACAUUUAACAGUAAAGAUA
This is a long non-coding RNA of Sapajus apella (tufted capuchin), 3053 nucleotides long. RefSeq lists it as uncharacterized. The record is from RefSeq and is a predicted model, not a curated record. NCBI's taxonomy places the organism in Eukaryota, Metazoa, Chordata, Mammalia, Primates, Cebidae. The transcript is spliced from 3 exons.